This 781-nucleotide ribosomal RNA is filed under the name uncultured Neocallimastigales. Its description in RNAcentral is "partial large subunit ribosomal RNA". It matches the Rfam family "Eukaryotic large subunit ribosomal RNA", at positions 24 to 645 of the family's 3401-position model. Lineage: Eukaryota; Fungi; Neocallimastigomycota; Neocallimastigomycetes; Neocallimastigales. The record is from RNAcentral.
UAUCUCUGUAGAGUCUGCAUAUCAAUAAGCGGAGGAAAAGAAACUAACUAGGAUUCCCUCAGUAACGGCGAGUGAAGCGGGAAGAGCUCAAAUUUGAAAUCUUACAAGGUUUUACCUUGACGAAUUGUAGUUUAAAGAAGUGUUUUCUGUUGAAGUUUCGGUAAAAGUUCUUUGGAAUAGGACAUCAUAGAGGGUGAGAAUCCCGUAUUUGACCAGUUACUUUCCAGCUGUUGUGAUACACUUCCAAAGAGUCGGAUUGUUUGGGAAUGCAGUCCAAAAUGGGUGGUAAAUUUCAUCUAAAGCUAAAUACUGGCGAGAGACCGAUAGGCGAACAAGUACCGUGAGGGAAAGAUGAAAAGAACUUUGAAAAGAGAGUUAAACAGUACGUGAAAUUGUCAAAAGGGAAGCGUUUGACACCAGUGUUGUUUUCUCGAAAAUCAAUUAAAAAAGGAUUGAUUUUGUGUUGUAUUGACUUUAAUCAGCUUUCUUCACUCUUUUCAUUGUCUUUUUUAAUGCACUUUUCGUUUAACAAGUCAACAUCAGUUUCUUUUGUUGUAAAAGGGUCAUUGGAAGGUGGCUUUCUUUUCGGAGAAAGUGUUUAUAGCCUUUGACUUCUGCAAUCGGAGAGAUUGAGGUCUGCAGCGUAGAUCCUUCGGGAUUAGAUACAUUUGUGCUAAGUUAUAGCCUUUCAUAGACAACUUGUUGACUAUGAUCAGUCAUGUAGCUUACUCGCUUAUGCUAUUUUACCUACGCUUAGGAUGUUGAUCUCUCACAGUCGAGC